UCCUGCGCCAUCAGCAAAGGUGCAAUAAAAACAAUGGAUUUAAAGGGGAUUUCUGUAUCCUUCUCCAAGAUCCUGGAUAGUCACAUUGCAUUCAAUCAUCAUCUUCUAAACACAUCACAUUCUUCAAGUCUCAUUUAAUGCAACAGAUUAGUAAUAGAAGAAAGCAUGCAUUGGAUUACAACAAAUAUCAGAUGUAUAAAUUACAUUGCCGCGAUCGUCUUUAUUUCCUCGUGGUACAAACAACUAGCAGCAGCUGCAAUAACCAUCAAAUGUAAUACGAUUACUCCAUUUUUAGAUGUAAUAUGUUUCUAUCUUAGCUUCGUCGUUUCAUACAAUUAUAGCAGU
Molecule: long non-coding RNA, 345 nt
Organism: Daphnia carinata
Lineage: Eukaryota; Metazoa; Arthropoda; Branchiopoda; Diplostraca; Daphniidae
Exons: 3
Source: RefSeq, a predicted model, not a curated record